UACGUAGGGUGCAAGCGUUGUCCGGAAUUAUUGGGCGUAAAGAGCUCGUAGGCGGUUUGUCGCGUCGGCUGUGAAAACUCGGGGCUCAACCCCGAGCCUGCAGUCGAUACGGGCAGACUAGAGUGCUGUAGGGGAGACUGGAAUUCCUGGUGUAGCGGUGAAAUGCGCAGAUAUCAGGAGGAACACCGGUGGCGAAGGCGGGUCUCUGGGCAGUAACUGACGCUGAGGAGCGAAAGCGUGGGGAGCAAACAGG
RNAcentral lists this ribosomal RNA (253 nucleotides) under uncultured bacterium. Its description in RNAcentral is "partial 16S ribosomal RNA". It matches the Rfam family "Bacterial small subunit ribosomal RNA", at positions 524 to 776 of the family's 1533-position model. The record is from RNAcentral.